GUGCCAGCAGCCGCGGUAAUACAGAGGGUGCAAGCGUUGUUCGGAAUUAUUGGGCGUAAAGCGCGUGUAGGCGGCGUGACAAGUCGGGUGUGAAAGCCCUCAGCUCAACUGAGGAAGUGCGCCCGAAACUGUCGUGCUUGAGUGCCGGAGAGGGUGGCGGAAUUCCCCAAGUAGAGGUGAAAUUCGUAGAUAUGGGGAGGAACACCGGUGGCGAAGGCGGCCACCUGGACGGUAACUGACGCUGAGACGCGAAAGCGUGGGGAGCAAACAGGAUUAGAAACCCCCGUAGUCC
RNAcentral lists this ribosomal RNA (292 nucleotides) under uncultured bacterium. RNAcentral describes it as "partial 16S ribosomal RNA". It matches the Rfam family "Bacterial small subunit ribosomal RNA", at positions 505 to 796 of the family's 1533-position model. The record is from RNAcentral.